GCUUUCGUGGUGUAAUGGUCAGCAUACUGAACUUGUAUUCGAGAGGUCCAGGAUCGAGUCCCGGCGAGGGCA
RNAcentral lists this transfer RNA (72 nucleotides) under Stegodyphus mimosarum. It matches the Rfam family "tRNA". From Rfam's summary of the family: Transfer RNA (tRNA) molecules are approximately 80 nucleotides in length. Lineage: Eukaryota; Metazoa; Arthropoda; Arachnida; Araneae; Eresidae. The record is from Rfam by way of RNAcentral.